AAAAGGCCGGUCUAGUAUAAGCAUUAUACCGUGAAACUGCGAAUGGCUCAUUAAAUCAGUUAUCGUUUAUUUGAUAGUACCUUACUACUUGGAUAACCGUGGUAAUUCUAGAGCUAAUACAUGCUGAAAACCCCAACUUCGGGAGGGGUGUAUUUAUUAGAUAAAAAACCAACGCCCUUCGGGGCUUCUUGGUGAUUCAUGAUAACUUCACGGAUCGCAUGGCCUUGCGCCGGCGACGGUUCAUUCAAAUUUCUGCCCUAUCAACUUUCGAUGGUAAGGUAUUGGCUUACCAUGGUUUCAACGGGUAACGGGGAAUUAGGGUUCGAUUCCGGAGAGGGAGCCUGAGAAACGGCUACCACAUCCAAGGAAGGCAGCAGGCGCGCAAAUUACCCAAUCCCGACACGGGGAGGUAGUGACAAUAAAUACUGAUACAGGGCUCUUUUGGGUCUUGUAAUUGGAAUGAGUACAAUUUAAACCUCUUAACGAGGAACAAUUGGAGGGCAAGUCUGGUGCCAGCAGCCGCGGUAAUUCCAGCUCCAAUAGCGUAUAUUAAAGUUGUUGCAGUUAAAAAGCUCGUAGUUGAAACUUGGGCCUGGCUGGCAGGUCCGCCUCACCGCGUGUACUUGUCCGGCCGGGCCUUUCCUUCUGGAGAACCUCAUGCCCUUCACUGGGUGUGUUGGGGAACCAGGACUUUUACUUUGAAAAAAUUAGAGUGUUCAAAGCAGGCCUUUGCUCGAAUACGUUAGCAUGGAAUAAUAGAAUAGGACGUGCGGUCCUAUUUUGUUGGUUUCUAGGACCGCCGUAAUGAUUAAUAGGGACAGUCGGGGGCAUCAGUAUUCAAUUGUCAGAGGUGAAAUUCUUGGAUUUAUUGAAGACUAACUACUGCGAAAGCAUUUGCCAAGGAUGUUUUCAUUAAUCAGUGAACGAAAGUUAGGGGAUCGAAGACGAUCAGAUACCGUCGUAGUCUUAACCGUAAACUAUGCCGACUAGGGAUCGGGCGAUGUUCUUUUUCUGACUCGCUCGGGACCUUACGAGAAAUCAAAGUUUUUUGGGUUCUGGGGGGGAGUAUGGUCGCAAGGUGAAAUUAGAAUAUAGUUGGUCGGAAAGAAAGAAAAAGGGGGGCCAUA
Molecule: ribosomal RNA, 1127 nt
Filed under: Neodidymelliopsis sp.
Lineage: Eukaryota; Fungi; Ascomycota; Dothideomycetes; Pleosporales; Didymellaceae
Description: SSU rRNA
Rfam family: Eukaryotic small subunit ribosomal RNA
Source: RNAcentral